Callithrix jacchus (white-tufted-ear marmoset) is the source of this 102-nucleotide Y RNA. It matches the Rfam family "Y RNA". From Rfam's summary of the family: Y RNAs are components of the Ro ribonucleoprotein particle (Ro RNP), in association with Ro60 and La proteins. NCBI's taxonomy places the organism in Eukaryota, Metazoa, Chordata, Mammalia, Primates, Cebidae. The record is from Ensembl.
GGCUGGUCUGAGUGCAGUGGUGUUUACAACUAAUUGAUCACAACCAGUUACAGAUUUCUUUGUUCCUUCUCCACUCCCACUGUUUCACUUGACUAACCUUUA